AACGAACGCUGGCGGCGUGGAUUAGGCAUGCAAGUCGAACGGACACUUAGCUUUUUCGAGUGUUAGUGGCGAAAGGGUGAGUAACACGUGGGUUACCUGCCCUAGGGUUCGGGAUAACUUGUCGAAAGACGGGCUAAUACCGGAUACGUUCUUAUUCUUUAACUGGAGUAAGAGGAAAGAUGGGGACCUCNCAAGAGGCCUGUCACCCUUGGUUGGGCCCGCGGCCUAUCAGCUAGUUGGUGAGGUAAUGGCNCACCAAGGCUAAGACGGUAGCUGGUCUGAGAGGAUGGUCAGCCACACUGGGACUGAGACACGGCCCA
Molecule: ribosomal RNA, 320 nt
Filed under: uncultured bacterium
Lineage: Bacteria
Description: bacterial SSU rRNA
Rfam family: Bacterial small subunit ribosomal RNA
Source: RNAcentral